AAUCAACGCUGGCGGCGUGCCUAACACAUGCAAGUCGAACGGGAAAACGGGGCAACUCCGUGAGUAUAGUGGCGUACGGGUGAGUAACACGUGACUACCUACCUUUGAGUGGGGGAUAACCCCGGGAACCGGGGCUAAUACCGCAUAACAUCGCAAGAUCAAAGAAGCAAUUCGCUUAAAGAGGGGGUCGCGGCUGAUUAGCUAGUUGGUAGGGUAAUGGCCUACCAAGGCGAUGAUCGGUAGCCGGCCNGAGAGGGCGCACGGCCACACUGGAACUGAAACACGGUCCAGACUCCUACGGGAGGCAGCAGUGGGGAAGUUUU
RNAcentral lists this ribosomal RNA (323 nucleotides) under uncultured bacterium. Its description in RNAcentral is "bacterial SSU rRNA". It matches the Rfam family "Bacterial small subunit ribosomal RNA", at positions 32 to 366 of the family's 1533-position model. The record is from RNAcentral.